GAGUUUGAUCAUGGCUCAGGACGAACGCUGGCGGCGUGCUUAACACAUGCAAGUCGAACGGAAAGGCCCUGCUUUUGUGGGGUGCUCGAGUGGCGAACGGGUGAGUAACACGUGAGUAACCUGCCCUUGACCUUGGGAUAACUUCAGGAAACUGGGGCUAAUACCGGAUAGGAGCUCCUGCUGCAUGGUGGGGGUUGGAAAGUUUCGGCGGUUGGGGAUGGACUCGCGGCUUAUCAGCUUGUUGGUGGGGUAGUGGCUUACCAAGGCUUUGACGGGUAGCCGGCCUGAGAGGGUGACCGGCCACAUUGGGACUGAGAUACGGCCCAGACUCCUACGGGAGGCAGCAGUGAGGAAUAUUGCACAAUGGGCGGAAGCCUGAUGCAGCAACGCCGCGUGCGGGAUGACGGCCUUCGGGUUGUAAACCGCUUUCGCCUGUGACGAAGCGUGAGUGACGGUAAUGGGUAAAGAAGCACCGGCUAACUACGUGCCAGCAGCCGCGGUGAUACGUAGGGUGCGAGCGUUGUCCGGAUUUAUUGGGCGUAAAGGGCUCGUAGGUGGUUGAUCGCGUCGGAAGUGUAAUCUUGGGGCUUAACCCUGAGCGUGCUUUCGAUACGGGUUGACUUGAGGAAGGUAGGGGAGAAUGGAAUUCCUGGUGGAGCGGUGGAAUGCGCAGAUAUCAGGAGGAACACCAGUGGCGAAGGCGGUUCUCUGGGCCUUUCCUGACGCUGAGGAGCGAAAGCGUGGGGAG
Molecule: ribosomal RNA, 748 nt
Filed under: uncultured Propionibacterium sp.
Lineage: Bacteria; Bacillati; Actinomycetota; Actinomycetes; Propionibacteriales; Propionibacteriaceae
Description: bacterial SSU rRNA
Rfam family: Bacterial small subunit ribosomal RNA
Source: RNAcentral